AUCGCGUAGCAUUAUUUAGGUUUGUAAUAUUUCCGUCGAUAUGCAUUCAUGUGCAUAAUGCAUUUCAUUCAGGAACGUUAAUUAAUCGCGUGAUGCGGAGAAAAAGACGACCCAAGUCGACCCCAAGCGCGGGCUAACCCGCAGGAUGAUGUUGAUGGACAGAACCGAAGAGGGAUAAUCUGGCGAAUGUCAAGACAGAAGAUGAUCGCCAAGUGGUCGCCUAACAAACACUAACCUAGUGUUACUCAGGCAAGCCCCGGUGCAUGCAACCCCUUCCUUGUGUUUUUAAAUUAUUUUUGCACACUUUAAGUCUAGUGAAAUGUGCAUUAGGUUUAUAGAAGUUGCUUGGAAACCCUUCGAUGCAUUGCCUACCUUGAAAUCCAUCCCUUUUAUAGAUACUUCUGGUGAAGUAUCAAAAUAUGAUUUACAAAAAAAUGCUUAGCCCUGCUUAUAGGCAGAUAGAGUUUGUCCUUUGCACUUAUGCCUAGCUCAGGUUGAUCCUGAGGAAGGAUGACCUCUACCUGCACGGAUAUUUUCAUUGGGAGCAUGGUGGGAUCUUACUGUAAAGUUCCCUAUAAUGCUCUUUUCAUCCUAAGGAAUACAAACAAUCCUAAGGGUGGAAGUACUUAAAUCGGGACUUGGGCUAGGAACAGGUGAUGCUCCGCCCGGGUCAAUUAAGGAUUGGAUGCGUAUGUAGGCCUGAUAGAUCAAGGACUAUCUUAACUGGCCACAUGCCCUGGAAAUGGGACAGGGUAAGCUUGAACCCGGCUAUUCCAUACGUGAAAAGACAACCGCGCACUAGGCGUGGGAGAUGGUGGGAGUAGCGUGUGCCCUCCUGGCUAGAGGCUGGAUGGAGGAGUACUGUGCUCCCGGGUAGCGCGGACCGGUUCACGUUGUGGAGGAUCUGUAGGAAUGGUUGACAUAUGCAAGGGUUAAGUGCUACAUAUGUCGUGUGGUUAGAGAUCCUCAGCUGAGUAAAUCGAUUCGGAUCGCCGUUAUAUCCCCGGAGAGUGGAGACUUGAUCACUGACCUGCAACCUAAGUCAGGAUGUGAACCUCAUGAAUAAAAAUGAUGUUGUAUUGAUGAGAUGGUGAAAUUAGACCAGAUGCAAAUAGAGUCUAUUAAUAUUUAAUCUGGCGUUAAAAUAUUGAAAGUAAGGACUCACUUUAGUAAGCUAUUUCUGCAAAAGUAUCUAAGUUGAUUCUUGCUAAAGCCUCUCCUUGAUUCCCAAAUCCAGCAUACCCUUGAGAGUCUUUUCUUUAGUCGUGUAAGUCUUGCUGAGUAAUUCCAUACUCAGGGUUUUAUUCCCUGUUGUUUUUCAGGUUCUAGCUUUGUGCUGCUUUUGAUGGUGUUAAGUGCCGGUGGGCUCGGCCUUCUUAUAUAAGUAUAACCCGUCUUUAUCUUCUUACUGAGGAUGGUCAUUUGAGCUAGCAUAUAUUUCAAACUUAUACUUUUGUAAUCACUCCGAUAAAAUAAUAUAAAAUUUUUGUAACUUGUAAAAUUUGGUAAUAAGAUUUCCGCUGCAAAAAUAUUGGUGUGUGUGAUUUGUGUUACUUAAUCUCGCGGUUCUGGUUGUAAGUGGUUUAUCCGGUGUCCUUGGGGCAAUCGGACGGAUCCUGUUAAGUUAUCUGGUGCACAUGCAUGGCCGUCUGAGGCCUUUGAGACAAGGACAGGUGCAUGUGGGCCCGAUAACUUGGAGGUUCUGCCACAAUUUUAUCCUCUAAACUUUGAUAAUAGUUUCGUUUUUUCUAUCCUCAUUGUCUUGUUGUAUUUUUAAAGCUUUGCUCAGUAACAAGCUCUACAAAAAUGAACUCGAAAUUAAAAUACUUAAGCUAAUACGAACACAUCAGUGGUAACUUGUAGAAGGGUUCUUACUUUGAAGUUAGAAUAAAGCAGGCUGCCUAUGAUGUGAUGACGCAUGUAACAAUUGAUAUCCUUCUCAAGCUUUGGGAAUCCGACACUCUUCGACAGGGUGCCUAUAAUUUUUGCACCAGCACGAUCGCGGAUGCAUCCCAGGAUUUCUUCGUCGACCCCUCCAAAGAGUACCGACCCAGGCUAGUAACCACAUGAGAUCGCAAAUUCCCUUAACUCUGAUUUGUCCUCUUCAGAGAGUUGUUGGCCGCCCAAGUGUCGUAGGUCGAAAUUCACUCCCUCUGAAGAGGUUUCAUCAAUCUCUUUUCCCUUGUCUGAAAUGGUUGCGACCACCUCCUUCUCCAUAGCCACAUCUGAUAUCAGAUUAUCAAUCUCGGACAAAGUGGUUGCAAGUUUUUCACCUUCGGCUGUAGCAGUGGCUUCGGCAUCGGUUGGUUUGGCAGCUUUGCUUGCCGAAGCUGAAGGGGGGGUUUGUUCAAUCACUUGUAUAUGUUCACAAUGCGUCGUUUCUUCUGGCCCCUGUCUCUUCCUUCUGUAGCUGAAGAUACCUCCUUUUCCUGUAAGAUGUUGGUUAGUUCCAAUCCUAGAGGACUUAGUGGUGUGAAUGGGAAUGACUCGGUCAUUACCUUCAAUAUUUUUGAGACCUCAGCAGCAGAAGACGAAGGGCUUGCAAUUGGUUUCAGCACAUCUUGUGUCUUCGUCUUCUCUAAUGAUUCCACAGCAAGCUUCCAUUUCUUAGGAGUCAGUUCCUUCGGCUCCGUCGCUGUUUUCAUCUUCUUCAAAGCCUCUUGGUCUUCCUUCACAGACCAGGUAGCUUGUGAUAGUAGACGCGGCCCGAUCUUCCGUGAGAUACGAUAACUUGAUUGAGUGGAGAUCUCGACGUUGAUGAUCCAAGGCUCCGAACGAAUGGUUCCUCGCAAUCACUACACCACGGCUCCGUUGGUUAUCACCCGUGACACACGAAUGACCUCGCCACGAAGGCUUAUCCCUGCAAGCGCAAUCAAUAACACAAGCAAGAACAGGAAAGAAACACAACCAAAAUUGUAUUGAUUACGGGAUGGGGUCUCACAAGCCGAUGACGGCGACACUGUUCAAUGACAGAAUUGAUCUAAGCAAAACCCAAACCUAAAUGUGGCGGUGGCUGCUGAAUAAAUAGAGUAUUAGGGCGUGCGUGACCCCUGGACUCGCCCCUAAUGGGCUCCGACGCGAUACACGGCCCAACGGCCCAACAGACGGUGUCGCAGCACCAAAACAGAAUUUGAACGCUAACUUGUUUCGACGAUUCCCGUUGACUCCGGACGAAUUUUAGGGUGAAACCAGUUGGGUUGGUUAGAUAAUCUCGUUAUCUUUCCAACCAUAUCCAGUAUGUUGCAAUUGGAGUCCGGAUGCAUCUUGGGCGUCCAUUUUAGUGCAGACUGGUCCUGGAACCCAAGAUGGAGUCGUAGCCGAUUCGGACUUGAUCUCCUUCCUGUUGUGGACGCCCUUGCUGCUCCUCCUCAACACCUUGGCCUUUCCCAAGUCCUUGCUGGUCCUCUCCAAGGUACCUAAUCAUCAAAACAUCCAUGGUCCCAAGCGUAAGCUCUGAAACACAAUUGACUAGGGUAGAACAUACCUGGAAAUUUAGCUGUCGUGCAUGAGAUCGUGUUAUCGGUCCAUUCAUUGUAUGUAUAGAAGUGAUGUCCUCAUCCUCCUUCUCCUCUUGAAUUGGAGUCGUCCUCGACUCGAUCUCACCUUCGCCACCCAUAUAUGGCUUCAAAUCUGAAAUGUUAAAGGUGGAACUAACCCAAAAAUCUGGAGGUAACUCAGGUGGUAAUCCAGGGGGUAUCUCAGAGGGAAACACAUCCAUAUACUCUUGCAAAAGGUUAGCAAUAGCCGGUGGCAAAGCAAUAGAUGUAUCAUCAAUGGAAUAAAAACAUUUUUGCACACUAAGGCACAGCAAAGUCCAACAGAGGCAUGUAACUCAUCAAGAUCAGAUUUAAUGGCUAGCAAAGUAGGAGUUUUUAACUUAAUAGGUUGCUGAUUUUUAGAGUUCAAAACACCUUUUUGCUUAGCAUUAAUCUUUUUCUCAUGUUCUAAGUGGACCAUUUCAGUGGGAGUCAUAGGAAGCAACACAAUUUUCUUUCCCUUAUGCAUAAAAGUAUAUUUAUUAGAUCUACCAUGGUGAAUAGCAUCAGUAUCAAACUCCCAAGGACGUCCCAGUAAAAGAGAGCAAGCAUCCAUAGUCACCACAUCGAAAUCAGCAAAGUCAUGGUAAGAGCCAAUAGAAAAAUGCACCCUUGUUGUUUUUGUUACCUUGAACUUACCGCUGUUGUUAAACCAUUGAAUGUGAUAAGGGUGUGGAUGCUCUCGUGUGGUCAAGCCAAGCUUCUUGACCACCUCAACGUUCACCAAGUUGUUGCAGCUACCACCAUCAAUGAUGGUAUGUACACGACAGUCCUUGACGAUGAGGAACAUGUUGAAAAGGUUGUGGCGCUGUCUGUUAUCGUCGUCACUAGUCGUGGUACUCAAAGCUCGUUGCACAAUCAAGGCCUUAUAGGUCUCGGUCGCUAUUGUACCAAGAACCUCUUCAUCACCAUCAUAAGUCUCUGCAAUGUUAGCUCCAACAGUAUCUUCAUCUUCAACAUCAGAAGCACUAACAUACCCACCAUCACCAGUAGCAAUGUAUGCCCGUUUGCUGGGGCAAUCUCGUUGAAUAUGACCAAGUCCCUGGCAGCGGUGGCACUUGAUGUCGGAGGAGCGGCCUGUGGAAGAGGUGGUCGUAGCAGGUUUUGUUGCAACACCCGAAGGCACCAAGGACUUGCUGUUGUCGUGUCCCUGUGAUGCCGAAGGUGCGGUGCUGCGUGUGCCGUUGGUGGAGGAAGAUGUGGACGUCUGUACGCCCGAAGAGGAUGACACCUUGGCUGGCAACGGUGGCUGGUGUGGCACGAAAGUGCUGCUCCUCCGCUGUUGACGACCCUGCAAUUCUUUUUCUGCCAACAUAGAAAGAUGGAACAAGCGUUGUAUAGAAUGGUAUUCUUUAUAAUCAACAAUAUCCUGAAUCUCCCGCCUCAAUCCCCCAUAAAACCUAACCAUUUGAUCCUCCGGAUCCUCAACUACCCCACAUCGUAGCAUACCUUUCUGAAGCUCUUGGUAGUAUUCUUGUACCGACAUGUCUCCCUGAUCUAAGCGUUGCAAUUUUUUUCGAAGAUCACGUCUAUAAGAAGGGGGAACAAAGCGAGCUCGCAUCUCCUCUUUUAACGCAUUCCAUGUUUGUGGUGCAGCACGUGUGCUAACAAGUUCAUUCCACCAAAUGAUAGCAAAAUCUCUAAAUUCACUAGUGGCUUGUCUAACCCUAUGCUGCUCAGGAACAAGAUGGGAAUUAAAUUUUUGUUCUACCGUCAUCUCCCAGUCUAAGUAAGCUUCAGCAUCAUAAGAACCCAUGAACGGUGGAAUAGAAAACUUAAUCUUAGCAAAUGGAUCAUGAUCUGGUUCAGGAUUAUGAUGACGACGUCUACCAUUACCUCCCAUACCUUGUCGAUUACGUGCGAGGCGUUGUGGCAGCGGUGCAUACACAUCAUCGUCAUCCACAAGAGAGUGAGCUGGGGCUGGAGUUGGUGGUGGGGGACGAGCCUCCAGUACGUCCAUGAGUGUAACAAGUUCAUCAACUCGUCGAUCAAGCUGCUCAUAGGAUGUCGAGGCAGAGUCCUGGUAUUUUUUAAAAGCUUCAGUCAUCGCGCGCAUCAUCUCCUUCAAUUCCAUUUGAGAGAUACACUCAUCGUCGUUAAGUUUAGGCCCCUUGUCCUUGUCCAUUUGAUUCUUUGGUCCUGUCAUUGUUAGCACAAAGCAAAGAUAAAAAAAGGCAACAAACAAUGUGAACCCUACAACUAUCUCUCAGGGCGGUGGUGGACUACAAAUUAUGAAGCGUCUUACCCCGCUCUUACAAUGUUCUUGCCAGCACUGUAGGUGGCAAACGGUGACCGGUGUGACUGUCCAACGAGCGUGGGUGUGAUUGCAAAGGAGUACCUGUUCUGCUCCAGAGAAAAUUGGAGCUAUGGGAAGGCUGACUAAUUAUAUAUAUGUGGCACACAAGUCAGUAACAGAUAGCAAUGCUGAAUAAGUGUUCCAAGUACUCGUCCUAGUUGCUGGCCUAGAAAAUGUAAUAGAACAGUUGGACCAAGGCACAAGAAAGGAGGUACAAGUAUCUAGGUGCAGCAAGAAAAUAAGCUUGGGGCAAAAUAAUCACAGAGGUGCACAGAACACUGGCGUUUCUGUUUAUGUGCUACUCUUUUCUUUUUUUCUCUCUAUUUUUUUUGCGAUUUUUUUUCAAAUAUUUUUUUUAUAUUUUUCUCUUUUGCAGCAGCACAUAAGAAGAAAACACACCAAGUUUUAGAUUUUUUUGUGCAAUGACGCGUCCUCUGUAAUUUCUACAAGUUUGCCCUAAAAUCAAAAUAAAUGUUUGGAAAACGAGAAGUCCUAUUUCCAAGCCGAAUUUAGGAAUUUUAAAAACAGCGAAUCCGACAAAACGGGAAAGAAUCGGAUACAAAAUUUAAUUCUGUGUGAUUUGAAAAAAAAUGGGCCCGAUUCGAGUUCCGAGGCGAAAGUUACGGCUGUUUUAAGUUUGGACUCCGAAUCAGGAUUUCUGGCGAGGUGUUGGAAGAGUGGGAGUUCGGUUUUGUGGAUAGGGUCGGUUUUAGAGAUAUGAUCUAUUUUAUGGAUAGGGUCGGUUGUAGAGAUAUGAUCUAUUUUGUGGAUAGGGUCGGUUUUAGAGAUAGGAUUUGUUUUGUGGAUAUGGUCAAUUUUAGAGAUAAGAUCUGUUUUGUGGAUAGGGUCGGUUUUAGAGAUAGGAUCUGUUUUGUGGAUAGGGUCGUUUUUAGAGAUAGGAUUUGUUUUGUAGAUAGGGUCGGUUUUGUAGGAUGGAAGCGGAUGGAUAGAAUUAAACUGAACCCAAACAAAUCUAAUCUAGCAACCAUACUCAACUAGAACACGAACUCAAAAAUGCGAACUCUAAAACUGAAUUGUGCAAAGGCUAAGGCGAUGGUUUUAGGUCGGAAUAAACUGAUCGUAUUUUUUGGCUUUUUGUGGAAUAUGGGACGAAACAAAACUAAUCUAAAGGUAGAAUUAUACCUCACGGGCAACCUGGAAAUUUGAUACCAAUUGAUAGUAGACGCGGCCCGAUCUUCCGUGAGAUACGAUAACUUGAUUGAGUGGAGAUCUCGACGUUGAUAAUCCAAGGCUCCGAACGAACGGUUCCUCACAAUCACUACACCACGGCUCCGUUGGUUAUCACCCGUGACACACGAAUGACCUCGCCACGAAGGCUUAUCCCUGCAAGCGCAAUCAAUAACACAAGCAAGAACAGGAAAGAAACGCAACCAAAAUUGUAUUGACUACGGGAUGGGGUCUCACAAGCCGAUGACGGCGACACUGUUCGAUGACAGAAUUGAUCUAAGAAAAACCUAAACCUAAAUGUGGCGGCGGCUGCUGAAUAAAUAGAGUAUUAGGGCGUGUGUGACCCCUGGACUCGCCCCUAAUGGGCUCUGACGCGAUACACGGCCCAACGGCCCAACAGACGGUGUCGCAGCACCAAAACAGAAUUUGAACGCUGACUUGUUUCGACGAUUCCCGUUGACUCCAGAUUAAUUUUAGGGUGGAACCAGCUGGGUUGGUUAGAUAAUCUCGUUAUCUUUCCAACCAUAUCUAGUCCGUCGCAAUCGGAGUCCGGAUGCAUCUUGGGCGUCCAUUUUAGUGCAGACUGGUCCUGGAACCCGAGAUGGAGUCGCAGCCGAUUCGGACUUGAUCUCCUUCCUGUUGUGGACGCCCUUGCUGCUCCUCCUCAACACCUUAGCCUUUCCCAAGUCCUUGCUAGUCCUCUCCAAGGUACCUAAUCAUCAAAACAUCCAUGGUCCCAAGCGUAAGCUCUGAAACACAAUUGACUAGGGUAGAACGUACCUGGAGAUUUAGCUGUCGUGCACGAGAUCGUGUUAUCGGUCCAUUCAUUGUAUGUAUAGAAGUGAUGUCCUCAUCAGCUUGCCUGCUCAAAAUGCUGACAACUCUUUUUCUAUUUGCUCCCCCGGCCCCAUCAUCAAGUCUGUCAUAAUCUGGGUACUCAAAAUUUAGGGCGUCCAUCACCCGAUUCAACCUUCGUUUCAGCCGGGUGCCGAAGGCAGCAGUCAUUAACUGAUCUUCUUUCUUCGUGUAAUUUCCAAGGAUUUCAUUACACAUGGUUUCUAUCAUUUCUAGCCAUUCAGUACAUGGUUUUUUGAAUUGCUUUUCAAACUUGAAACGGAAGGGGAGUCAAACAAGUUCAUAUUUUUCCCUCCUUCCUUCUUCUUCGGCAUCCCCCAACCGCUAGAGGUUGAAAAAAGUUUUCUUCGCCAGAUAUUCCUGCAUUAAGUCCCUAGUGCUAAUUUGAGCAGCCACCACUCUGAAUUCAUGCAUCCCAUGAUUUCUUCGUCGACCCCGCCAAAGAGUACCGACCCAUGCUGGUAACCACACGAGAUCACAAAUUCCCUUAACUCUGAUUUGUCCUCUUCAGAGAGUUGUUGGCUGCCCAGGUGUCGUAGGUCGAAAUUCACUCCCUCUGAAAAGGUUUCAUCAAUCUCUUUUCCCUUGUCUGAAAUGGUUGCGACCACCUCCUUCUCCACAGCCACAUUUGAUAUUAGCUUAUCGAUCUCGAACAGAGUGGUUGCAAGUUUUUCACCUUCGGCUGUAGCAGUGGCUUCGACAUCAGUCGGUUUGGCAGCUUUGUUUGCCGAAGCUGAAUGGGGGGUUUGUUCAAUCGCUUGUAAUAUGUUCACAAUGCUUUGUUUCUUCUGGCCCCCGUCUCUUCCUUCUGUAGCCGAAGAUACCUCCUUUUUCUGUAAGAGGCUGGUCAGUUCCAAUCCCAUAUGACCUUAGUCAUUACCUUCAAUAUUUCUGAGACCUCAGCAGCAGAAGACGAAGGGCUUGCAAUUGGUUUCAGCACAUCUUGUGUCUUCGUCUUCUCUAAGGAUUCCGUAGCAAGCUUCCGUUUCUUAGGAGUUAGUGCCUUCGGCUCCGUUGUUGUUUUCAUCUUCUUCAAAGCCUCUUGGUCUUCCUUCACAGACCGAGCAGCUUGCCUGCUCAAAAUGCUGACAACUAUUUUUCUUUUUGCUCCACCGGCACCUUCGUAAAGUCUGUCAUAAUCUGGGUACUCCAAAUUCAGGGCGUCCAUCACCCGAUUCAACCUUCGUUUCGGCCGGGUGCCGAAGGCAGCAGUCAUUAACUGAUCUUCUUUCUUUGUGUAAUUUCCAAGGAUUUUAUUACACAUGGUUUCUAUCAUUUCUAACCAUUUGGUAUAUGGUUUUUUGAAUUGCUUUUCAAACUUGAAACGGAAGGGGAUUCGAACAAGUUCAUAUUUUUCCCUCCUUCCUUCUUCUUCGGCAUCCCCCAACCGCUAGAGGUUGGAAAAGUUUUGUUCGCCAGAUAUUCCUGUACUAAGUCCCUAGUGCUAAUUUGAGCAGCCACCACUUUGAAUUCAACUUCGGCCAGCUGGCAUGGGGAGCUGAGUUGCAUGUUGCACAACGGCCUCGUCAUGCCGAAGCUUAAUCUCAGAGGACUCAUUACCAUAGUCAUGAGUUUUUCUCUCUUCUUCUCAUCAGCCUUCACAUAGAACCAUUCGCUAGUCCACCCGGUCGGCGACUUAGUGCGGUAGCCAAUCACCGGGGCCUUAGUGUCCUUCCGGUAUGCAAAAUUAUAACAUCCAAAGUUUUUGUGAAGACCAUCGGAUCUAGCCUUCGUCUGAUAAUGCAACUCAUACACUCGGCAGUACCCUUCGGCAUUGGCACUUUUACCCUGGCUUCGGAGAGCCCAUUUGUAGACAUUGAUCCUGACAAUGGCAUUCGGUGUCAGCUAAUGGAGAUAUAUUUCAAAUCUUUUCAAAACUUCCACUACACGACGGUUGAUUUACAGUGACCUACGGUUGGUUGCUAAAAGCGCCUUCAGCGACCUACGGUUGGUCGCUGAAGACUUUUAGCGACCCAUAAGGAUGGUCGCUGUAAGUGCUAUCGCUAAAGGCUUUAGCGACUAACAUAUUUUUAACAAUCGACCGUAAGUUGCUGAUGUUAUACUUUUAGCGACCAAUUGUUGGUUGUUGUAUUAAUGUUAGCAACCAACUGUUAGUCAUCAUUAUAUAUAUUUAACAACCAACUGAAAGUCGCUCUGUUUAUAGUUGUUAUUAAUAAUAAUAUACAUAUAAUUAUAUAUACAAAAGAACCACAAACCAUAGAUUUUUAUACACAUAAUCACAAAGACAUACACAGUUGAUCAGUAUACCACAAUCAUAAAUCCAUCACAUAAACAUAAGCACCACAAUUAGAUAUAUUCACAAAAGCACCACAAUUAUAAUAUCAUUUACAAAAGCUCCAGAGUUGAUCUGUCACAAAAGCACCACAACGACAUCACUCUAGCUUCAAGCAGUUCAAAAGCCCACAACUACACUAAUGCUUGACAUCACUACAUCUAUAGUUCAAAAGGCCACAACUACAUCACUCCAUAGCUGAUCAGUCACAAAAGCACCACAACUACACUAAUGCUUCAAGCAGUUCAAAAGCCUUCACACAACCACUACAACUUAUUGUAUCCUCCUGUUUUAAGGAACAAGCUUUCUUUGUCCAGAAUGCCCUAUAAAAAGUACAACAAAUUAGUAUAUUGGUGCUACAUUUGCAAAUAAAAAUACAAUUUUGCUGCCUUAUCUACCUCCACUAGACGGUGUUGUUGCCUUUUCUACCAACUUCGGUUGAUGCAAUCAAGGAUAGUUGAUUAGUGAAUUAUACUCAUAUAAAUCUAAACAUAAACAAGAUAAGAUAUAGACUAUUACUUUCCACAUGGCACAAGGACAAGGCAAAAUUGUAUCUCGUUUCAGCACACAAGUUAUAAUAACUUCACAAUAUUGCCUUCCAAGGGUCAAACUUCAAGAUGGCAUAAGUUCCAAAUGUCAAAUAUUAAAGCUAAGGAUCAUCCAAUCAUUUGUGACCUAACAUUACCAGUCAAUGUACUACAUCAUCCUAACAAGACCAGAAGGCACACUUCGUGCCCCUACAAUGAUAAUGGCUAUGAUAAGUCAUAUCAAAUGAGAAUUAUCACAAAAUUAGUAAGCCAUAAUUUCACAGCAUAACACCAUAAUUUGUUUUGCCUAGGGCUGCCAUUCCUCCUCUCUAAUCCCCCUCUACUUCCCCCAAUUCUACCCUCUAAUUAAGGGGAAGUCACGCCUCCCCCAAUCGGAUGUGACACUAAUUCUGAAUAAUUAAGGCCCUAAGCACUGCUUUCACCUUAAAAGCAUCAUCUCACAAGUAGAUAAUAGUUCUGGAUGCUCGUGCUCUUUGGAAGGUCAUGAGCCUUUGUAGCAUGUACAAACUCCAUUACUCCAUAUAAGGUCUUAUUUGAAACACCAAUAUAGUGAAUUAUGAUAUUCUCGAUUUUCUUUUGUAUGAGCUAAUAGAACUGAGACAAAAACAUAGAACUACUAAAUGUGCCUCUAUUUACAGAACAAUUGCAUAUGUUGAAUAGCUAUCAUUUGUCUGAAAAAUACUUACAUGACUAAAUUCACCAAAUAGUGCCACAUACCUAUUUAGCCUGGAGACAUAAAGAAAAACUUUGGAAUGGAGGAUGUUAAAAUAGUAUGGCUCAAUUAAUUUAGUGUUAAGACAUAGUAUGUCUGCAAAUACAUAUAUUACCCAUUACAAAGCUAACCCAAGGACUGCUACCUGCCUUGACAUUUAGGCCUGUUAUUUCCUCUCCUAUAAAGCUUAAAUGAUGGGGGUUUUUUUAUUUGUAACAAUAAAACACAGCAAAGGAGCCGCCUAAAAGGAAAAUGGCAACUGACCCAGUUUAUAUACAGAACAAAAAUAGUUUCAAGAGACCUAGGGCACCCUGCUAACUACGUAGAGAGGUAGUUACACACAAUACAUUUCUUUGUCUGUACUUCGCAGGUAGGGAAGAAGUGGUAAAAACCUAGAGGAAUACAGAAGGCAAUGUGCAUAGUAUUUGUAGGGAUAAGCAAAGGUAACAUUACAUAACCUCAAAUGUUUUGUGAAAAGUUGCUUCUUAGCUAUCUGGUCUCAUGACUAUACGGUAGUAUUGUGCCUGUUAGUGGGUUAUAGUCUGCGUUUCUGUGACUUUUAUUUGCAAUAAUAUUUUACUCACUUAUAUUAAGGAGGACCAACAACAACCACCCUCUCCCAGCAUAAGCAAGUAGGGAUUGACGCAUAUAAGGAAAAUGUGUGUUAUACCUCCUCAUCGAUCACUACAAGAUCAGAAUGCAGAUGUUUUUUAUCAUCUCCAGGAUCAUAGAAGUCCCAUGUCCUAGUAACCCAAACGCAUAGACGCUCGCUGCAAAUGUCAUGACAAGAAAAAUAGAGCAAAUGUGAGGAUCUAUUAAUCCUGCACUCAAUAUGAACCAAGCUCAGGGGAGGGUGAGUGCGUGCCCUUGGGGAAAUCGUCGAGCGGGAGGGCCGACUGUAGUAGACACGAGAUCUUGAGGAGGCACGUGUUUAGGGCAUGCACCUAGGGGUCCAUCUCAGUGGUGAAGUUCUUCAUGAAGUCUUAGAGCAUGAUAGUCAGGCGUCACUCGUCCUCAGCACACCGCGUCUUACGCUUCUGUCCCCCAGUCCCCCCUCGUCGCCGGAGUUGUUGGCUGCGGAGUCGUAGUGGGUGCGACGACGGAAUGAGUCUCCGGCGCCCGGGCCAAAGCCAUCGCUGUUGUGGUGGGGCUCGGAAGAGUUGCUGUGGGGCGGGUUGGAAGAGGGCUCAAGUGAGGGAGCGGGCUAGGGUUUCGGCGGAAGCUUGGUCCCGGCUGCGCUACGGAGAGGUGGCGGCGCGCUGAGUGAGCGACGGGGUGGGGGCGGCACGACCAAGCGAGCGGGGUGGGGGCGGCGCGGCCGAGCGAGCGAUGGUGUGGGGGCGCGAUGGCGGUGUGCAGUGCGGGUGGCGGCACGCGGUGUGGAGCUCGGUUGUGUGUGGCGGCUGUGUGUGUGGUGAAAUAAGGUUUUUUGGUAAAUAGACUUUGAGAUGGGUACUGGAUUGAGAUGUGAAAUAGAACGUGGAUAGGGUUUUUCUUAUCCUGUUCUCGGCGUACUAGAAUAGAACGUGGGGCAUCUGUAAGUAAAUAAGAAAAACAACUAGCACAAUAGAUAGCAAAACCAAGGGUAGUCUAGUUGGUUAUGUCAUUCAUGUUUGAGUCAAUAGAUUCAAGGUUCAAAACCUUAAAAAUCGUUUUUUACAAUUCGUUUUCUUUUCCAUAAUUCUUUUUUUCUUUUCUACAAUUCUUGUUUUCUUUACUACAAUUUAGCGAUCAAUGUUUACUUGUUUUAAUUAAUUUUUAGUCACUAACAUCUACAGGUACGUUCAGGCUAUAAGAUUUGAUAGUGAUCCUUGCUCUAUAGCGACCCACCGCUAGUCCCCGACGACAUCUAUAGCGACCAACCAUAAAUUGUUAAAUUUCUAGACUUUUAGUGACCAACCGACCGUUGCUACAAAAGGAUUUAGCGACUGACCGCCAGUCCCUAACCUUUAGCAACCAACAGUUGGUACCUAAUAAGGGUCGCUAAAGAUCAAUCGUCGUGUAGUGUUCUCCUAUUAUAUCAUAUAGAGGAAACCACAGCCCUGCCCUGAAGAAGCUUCUAAACACAACAACUUCAUCUUCCUUCAGCUCCGAAAUCACUUCUUCGCCAGCAAAGCGAAUAAGUUUACUUUCAUCCUCCCAAAAUAGCCUAGUUUUUUCAUCAUAACCAGGUCCUCUUCUGUUACGGUCGAUUUUCCGAAUUCAAUGUGACUAGGUUUUGAUGGGCUUAGAAUACUGUUGUUUUCUUUGAUUCCAUCAUCACUUCUGUCUUCAACUACUUCCUGCUCAGCUUCGGUAGUUCCACCUUCGGCAAUAGUUCCUUCCGACACAAUUAGAUCUGAUCGUCUCAUCACUUCCGAUAUUGGCACUAUUUCUGUCACUUCAGCCUCAUCUCCCUCACGGGACACCCUAGCAGUGGAUCUUACUUGGGCCAUUUCAAGUGUUUUGGUUCCUUAAGACGAAGAUAAUUUCGAAGAUAAUUUCGAAUGACGAAGAGCUUGUUUGGAAAGCGCAAUCCAAAAAGCUUCGGCUUUAGUUAAAAAUUUUAACAGCACAAUGGUGCGAUGACAAUGAAUGUUGUGGUAACUCCUCACCAACAUGUCUGCUUAUAUAGUGCUGCAGGGGAAGAAGGCGAACUGCCAGACCGUCUACACUGACUGAACGGUGGAUCGACCGACGCUCAGAAUAUUUUAAUUGUUUUUCGAUAACAAGCUUAUGGAAGGUGUUUUUCGGACCUUCGGCAUUCCGAAGCCUUUGUGUUUUUCGCUGAUCGAGCUCAUUACGAAAAAACAAUCUAGCAUCGCGAAGGGGCUACUAUUGGGGGUCUUCUUCUCUACCGAAGGUCCUCAAGACAAAAACGCCUUCAUCAAAAUAAUACAAAGGCCGCUAAAGCUAUCAUCAACCUCGGUUCAGCCUCUAAAGACGAAGAUCUUGCGUACAAGCAACGUUGCAGAAUAACUUCGGCUCGGACUAAGCAAAGAAGGAAAAGGCUAGAUAGACCUUAUUAGUUUUAUUUUCUUGUAAAUAAACGUUCAAGGGUAUGGAUGUAAUUUCACCCGGGCUGCGUCCCGUGCCUAUAAAUAGAUGAACAAUAACACCGUACUGUUCACGCGGAAUUGUAAUCACACUCUCGCGACUUCAUCUUCUAAGCAAAGCAAGCCGAAGGUAUCAAUGUAAUAUUAACAUUGUUAAUAUUUCCAUGUGUUUUGCAAAAUGCAAAUAUAUAUAUGAAUUGAUGAAAUGCAGCAAUUAUCUUCGUUCGUUUAUAUUUUUAUUUAUAUAUUGAUCUAAUGAAGGUAUGUCCUUCUUAACCUUCGUAUAAUGAGCAUUUCUCCCUUGCGGAGACAAUGUUUCGGAAGCAUUUCUUCCUUGUGGAGACAAUGCUUCGGAAGACGAAGGUCAAUUAUAAUUAAUAAUUGUGUUGUAUUGUUCUUAAUUUAUAGCAUUCAAGAACAAGUGACCAACAACCUAUAUUUAUAGGGGAGGUCUGGACCUGUUUCUAAGAGAUAGUCAAUAACUUCCACGCGAUUAGAUGGAUAACCACACACGAGAUAAGGAUAAUCACCGAGUUAAUCUAAUCGCGGGGCACGUGGACUGUCCGGGCCCAAGAAUUGGACCUUCCGCCACUUUUGGUGCUCAACAAUUUCCUAUUGUCAUUCCUACUUUGCAGAAGUUACUGGUGCAACAACCAACUACACGUCAAUGAAGUAACUACUAACACUGCAUCAUUAGAAUAUUUUCCAUUGCAGAAUAAUCCCUCCAGUCCGGUGUUCUUUUUGUUUGGUGUACCGACCGGCCAGGUAUCCCCAAUUCUACAUUCAGGACUGUUGAGAACGCGUGGUUUAUUGAGCGAAGGGAGGUAGCAGCGAGGGGCUAACAACACGGUAAAUCUACAACUCAUCCGAGUCUUAGAAUAUUCGUAUUUUUUCUCUCUCUCGCGCGCGCUAUCUCUCUUUCUCUAACAACCUAGAAGAAAUUUUUAAGACAUUGGGGACGAGAGAGACAGCGACAAGAUGGAGGCAGCGAUGGCGUCCUCGGAGCAGGCGGACAGGCCAGGUCAGGACGAGGAGGACGACCAUGCAUGCAUGAUGGCGAUGUGGGAAGGGGAAGACAAGGUCGCCGUGGGUACGGUACAAUGUAGAAUCAGCUCGCCGGAGCUCCUCGGUCGUGACCGCAGCCGUAGUGCUCCUCCGAUGAGACCCAACCGUGCCACGGCAGGGCGGUGAGCGGCAGCGGCGGCGGCGCAUCGGGAGGAAGAAAAUGCAUGAAGAAAAGAAUCUCUCCCAAAACACUAGGGUCAUCGGGUGUGUGAUAUGACAGAUUCUAAUAAUAUGAUCUGUAUCUAGAUCAUCUCUCGGUACAUCAAAUACAAGCUUUACUGGUCAAUUAUAGGACCGCAGUUCCUACCCUAUGUUAGGGUAUGUACAAUGAUUGUCUUAAAUUAUGGCUUAGAGUGUGUCUAGAGUGUGAAUAUAAAAAAACUCAAGACAUUUAUCUUGACGAAGAAACAGUGUCUUAGCUCUAUGUUCGAGAAAAGAGACUAACUGAUUGGUCACUUUAAUUUAUUGAAUGAUCUGAUUGGUACAAUGAAUAUGGUAAGACACAUGUUUUAGACAUGACCACUGUAUUAUGUUGUGUUUUAGUUGUGUCUUAUACUUGGGUUACCGUGCAGCAGUGUCUAGGUUGUACAUGCCCUUACAUGGUACUCAUGUUGACUUCUGUUUCGUUUCGGCAGCUGGUUCCAACAAGGCAGUAACAUUGUUUAUGCCCCUGCUAAAGAAACUAGCUUAAGGGCACAAGUACUCUUGGUCAAUGAACUGAUCAAUCAUGCCCGUGGCCAAUUACCGCUAGACUUAUUGUAUUAUUCUCUUGGAGCUAUGCAGAAAAUAGUGUGAGUAGAGCUGAUCUCAUAGGCCGGAAAUGCCGGACUAUCGCUACCGUCACCAAUUACCCGAACGAAAAAAAAAAGAGGCGAGUUUUCAACUGCCAGAGCCACUCCAGCGCGCUCUAAUCUCGCGUCAUGGGUAUGCUUAGUUGUAUCGUCAUUCACGCUGACAUGAACAGUCGCCAACGUUGCCGAAUGCUGAAUCAAGGGUCCAUAGCUAGAGAAGAAGAGGUCUCAUUACUAUCUAAUCUAAAAUUAAAGAAGAGAAGAGGUAUCAGCCAUGAGCCCAAGAACCCGGUUUAUGAAGUUCUUCAUACGUACUCCAUGUUUCUACACUUGUGCACCAAAAAAAAACCUAGUUUAACAAAGUUUUCGCUGACAAAAGUGACAAAGAUGGCCGGAUUUAAGUUUUCAAUGCCAUGUAUGUAUGCAUCCAUUUCUUUUUUUUUUGAAAGGAAGGGGCAAAAGACUUGCCUCUCCGGAAUAUAUUAUAUUAGAGAGAAAAGAAAUGGGUAAUACAAAACCAAAGCGACUGGAGGCAGAGGAAAAGAAAGACAAAUAAAGAUGAAAUAAAAAGAGCAAAAGAAGGACCCACUAGAGCAGACCAAAAGGCCACAGCUACAAGAAAAAUCCGAAGACUGCAAGGGCCACUUGAUUAACGCUUCUAUGCUGACUUUGGAAAAUUCUGUUAUUUCUUUCCAGCCAUAAAUUCCACCAAAAAUGAAUUAGCAGGCCGUCGAAGCGUCUUCUUGACUGACUGUUGCAAAAGUUACGAAGACCCGUCCACCAAUCAUAUAAAGAUGUAUCGCUGAGAAUCCCAUAUGAGGGAGGAAGGUUGGCCCAGGACAACACUUUGUUCCACACCUCUCUACUAAAGGGGCAGUCCUUGCAUAAGUGAAGAAUAGUUUCUGGGGCCGAGUUACAAAGACAGCAUAUUGGGUUGCAAGGCCAACCCCUUUUAAGAAGGUUAUCAGCCGUUAGAAUUUUGUUAUGAAGUAAUGUCCAGGCAAAAAAACGGCACCUCGGCUCCGUCUUAGCCUUCCAAAUGGGGCAGAGAUUCAUUGUACUGUAAUUAGAUGAGAAUUGGAUGUUGUAAGCACUGCUUGCACUGUACUGCCCAUCUGCCGACCAUCUCCAAGUAAUGGUGUCCUCCAAACCAUUGAGCUCUUGCAUGUUACCUAUGGCUUGCCAAAGAGAGACGAACUCUCUAAGCUCAACCUCCCCCGAGCAUGGGAAGCAUAAUCGUAUCCAAUUGUUGUUAGUGAGAGCUUUGUCAACCGUGAUGUUCUUCCUCUUUGUCUUCCUGAAGAGUGAAGGCGCAAUGCUCUUAGGGGCUUGACCUUGGAUCCAGCUAGAAUUCCAGAACUCAGCUGUCUUUCCAUUGCCAACCGUCACCAAUGUGGAUGCAUUGAAGAGAUCUUCAUCAGUCUUGUCACAAGGAAGCUUCAUGGCAUUCCACGCCCUGUCUUUGCUUUUCCAUCGUAACCAAAGCCAUCUCAGUCUUAACCCCCUCGCAAAACGAUCAAGGUCCAGAAUUCCAAGACCCCCCUUGCUCUUUGGGAGGCAAGUUGUGGCCCAGUUGAUAAGGCAGUGACCCCCAGAGCAAGCCUCAGGAUUAUUCCCUUUCCACAGGAAGUUUCGUCUCAUUUUGUCAAUUGAAUGCAGCAACCAUUUUUGAGGCGGAAAAAUCGUUAGGUGGUAGAUAGGCUGUGCGGAUAGCACCGAUUUUACUAAAGUUUCCCUACCAGCCUUGGACAGCAGUUUACCUUUCCAACCAGCCAAUCUGUUGUUAAUUUUUUCGAUAAGUGGUUGGAGAUCAGACCUUUUAACAUUCCUGUAAUGAAGGGGCAGCCCUAGAUAUUUUCCAGGGAGGCUAGAGUACUUUGCAGGGAACACGUCCAUUAGCGUUGGCCAUAAUGGUGCCGGAUAUCGGAUUGGGAAAAUUUCUGUUUUGUCAUAGUUGAUCUUUAGUCCUGAACACCCCUCGAACGCGUUGAGAAUCCCUUUCAGCACCCCCAAGUCUGAUUUGUCCGCUCUUACAAAAACACCCGCAUCAUCCGCGUAGAGAGAGCACCGAAGCUUAGCUCCUCUAGGCAAAACCUGUCCAAGCAGUCCAUCCUGAGCGGCCUUCUCAAUCAUCCGAUGCAGCGGGUCCAUCGCUAAAAUGAAUAGGAAGGGAGAAAGAGGGUCCCCUUGUCGAACCCCACGUCUGUGCUUGAUUGCCUUUGAACGUUGCCCAUUUAAAAUUAUUCUUGAGGAGGACGAUCCCAGGAUUUCAGCUACCCAAUUGCGCCAAUUCUGGGAGAACCCACAGGCCCUUAACACAUCUAAGAGAUAUGCCCAAUUCAGGGUGUCGAAGGCUUUAGAGAUGUCAAGCUUGACAAAAAGAGCUGCAUCACCUUUUUUAUGCAGCUCCCUAAUCACCCUCUGCACGUAUAGAAAGUUGUCAUGUAUUGAUCGGUUCUGGAUGAAGGCGUUCUGAGCGUUGGAUAUAAUUUCGUUCAUUCUUGGCGCAAGCCUAUUUGCCAUGAUUUUUGUUAUAAUUUUCAUGAAGCUAUUGAUCAGACUUAUCGGCCUAAACCUAUCAAUUCUGUCAGCAUUUUCCCCCUUGGGUAUGAGGAUGAUGUUUGCUUCGUUGAUCAGAUGCAGGCUUUUGGAUCUGUGAUAGAAAAAAUCAUUUAUUGCCAUGGAGAGGUCGUUCUUGAUCAACUCAAAGCAGCAUUUGUAGAACUGUCCAAUGAACCCAUCCGGCCCAGGAGCCUUUUCAGAUUGAAGCCUCAUGAUCACGUCCUUAAUUUCACUAUCAUCAAUCAAGUUGUCCAGCUCAGCAAGCUCAAAAGGAGCAUACCCCAGAUGGUCCCAGCAAACAGCACUGCUCCUCCUUCCUGUCAUGCCAAGAAUCUGACCGAAGUGGUGCUGAACCUCGUACAUCUUGGCUUCCUGGCUCGUUAACAGCGUGUCAUCUCUAAUUAGUGAUCUGAUUAAAUUUUUCCUUCUUCUAUUAUUGGCCGCCAAGUGAAAGAACUUAGUGUUAGCAUCGCCCAAUCGCAUCCAAGUAAGUCUGGAAUGUUGUCUUGCUCGUGACCUCUGAGCAGAGGCAAUAUCCAGAAUCUUGAUUUUGAGGAUCCUCCUGAAUUCCAAUUCUUCAGAGGAGAGUUGUCUACUUUCUUGUGCUUUCUCCAGAAGAGUGAGAAUGAUCUGAAUGAUAGCCAUCCGCACUUUGAAGUUGCCAACUGUAUUGCGUCUCCAGAUCGAAAGAGCCUUGGCCGUGCGAGUCAUCUUCACAUGAAGGCGAAGGAUUGCGUCAUCAGAGUUAACUGUAGAAUUCCAUGCUUGAUGGACUACCUCAUUGAACCCCUCAAUCUGUGGCCAGAACGAUUCGAAUCUGAACCCCCGGUAGAAUUUGACCGUAGAGUGGCCUUGUAUUAACAGUGGGCAGUGGUCCGACGUCAUGGUGCACAUGGAGAGUAGAUCAGCUGCGGGGUACAGAUCAUGCCAUUCAGUUGUCGCGAAGAAUCUGUCAAUCCUAGUCAUGGUAGGGUUAGCUUGUUCAUUUGACCAGGUAAAUGCUCUAUCGGUGAGAUCUAGCUCUAAGAGGUGUAGAUCAUCAAUUGUGCUAUUGAACUGCCUCAUCACCCUUCUGUUGAUUGACCCUUUGUUUUUUUCUUUUGCUCUCCUAAUCAUGUUGAAGUCACCUAAAAUUACCCAUUCUGGCCUCACCAUGGUUUGAAUAUUUCUGAGCUCAGAGAGGAAUAUCAUUUUUUCAUUAUCCGGUUGGGGGCCGUAAACACCCGUGAGAUCCCAAACUUCAUCCACCAAUCUGGAAAAAAUCCGGACAGACAGCGAAUAGGCUGCAGAGCCUGGUAAGAGGGUCAAGUCAAAGUAGUCCGAAUCGGCAGCGAUUAGGAUGCCACCCGAAGCGCCCUGAGAAGGUACAUGAAAAGUUUGAUUUGCAAGCUUGGCACCAACAGUUUCCUUUAAUAAUAUAUUUGACCAGCUCGAGAUCUUUGUCUCUUGAAGGCAAACAAUGGAUGCGCCAGUGGAUAGAAUUGUAUGCCUUACGCUUGCUCUCUUAGCAUGGUCAUUUAACCCCCGCACGUUCCAGGAGAAAAUAGUGCAAUUCGGAUUCAUAAAGCAAUAGAAACCACUCUAGAUGAGACAGAACGCAGCCGCCAAUCAAAUCCCAGCCAGGGACCCUGCUGCAGCAGACCAACUGUGGAUAAUAAUAUCGAACAAGGAUUCGCCGAAUUAGAACAAAGCCCAGAACCAAAGGACAAUCUGGGAGCACAGGGAUACAGAGGCACGCUAUAGCACUGCCCAAACACACUAAAACUAGCAGGAAUUAAAAUGAGAAACAAGGGUGGGGUGGACCCGGAACCGCGCCAAAAGCGCCUAUCCAUCUGAGGAACCAUUGAUCAGCAAAAGAACCACCAACAAACCCAGUCGCAGCAGCUCAGAACCCCUUAGCCUUCCCGGCUUCGGCGGUUGGCAUCACCUUUCGACCCUUCUUUUUAGUCUUCCCUGCCUUCACGUUGUCUUGAUUUAUCAGCUCCAUGAUUGCCUCCAUUUGGCACUUGGUAAGAGGCCUUGUGAAUAGACUUGCGAUCUGCUCAAAUGACUUAUUAAAAUCAGUACAGUCUGAAGAACUAGAGCAGUCUGGAAUUUUAACUGCAGAAUUGUUAAGUUUGGCGCGAAUGAUUUCCUGGGCUUUGGAUAUUGCAUCUCGGUUAGUACCAGUGCUAAAGUUUUUUUUCGCAGCCAGCCUAACACUUGAUCUUCUAGUGAUGUGUUGCUUCUGAAAUUUUAAUGUAUGUGAUGAAUUGGUCGUGCUACUUUUCGGGAAAGCAGGGAUCAGUGGUGGUUCUGGUGGCGUUGUUAUUGCCGCGAUGAAGUUGGUCAACUGGGCAUUAUCGGGUAAGCUGUUCCCUGUCCUCAGAGCAGGAGUAGUACUCAAGGCUUCCUGAUUAAUGUUGUCAACAGGUUGACACAUUGGCUGGAUAUCGCUAACGCCCGGCUGAAAAUCUGGGCAGGAUAAAUUGUGGAUAGCUGGGGCACUCAUUUGGCCGAUCCGUUCAGCAGCUGGCAGGUUGAGGUGUACAGUUUGAUUAGCGUUCAGGAGUUGGGAGCCAAGCAGCUCAACCGGUUGGGCAGCUAAGGACUUGGCUGGACUAGAAAUAUCCAGGUUUAGAACAUUGUCUAAACCGUCGAGGACAGUAGCUGGCAAGAUGUGAUCUACAGCUUUAUUGUCGUUUGCCAGGUGGGUGCCUAAAAACUCAGUCGGUUGGAUAGCAGGGGCCUUGGCUGGAACAACAUUGUUCAGGGCCAGAACACUGUCUAAACUAUUUAGAAUCGAGGCGAAAACAUUAUUAAGAUCCACAGUAUUAGUUACCUUGCACUUGGAGGCAUCAGGUUCCUUGGAGGUUUCCUGGUUGGCACCGUCAACAGACCCUGGCGAGGCACCCACACCAGCAGCAAGCUCCAGGUCGCCUACCUGCGGCCAGACAGCAGAAACAGCAGGGUCUGCAAAAGAAACGGUGCUGCCCUUUCUCUUGGGCACCCAGCAGCGAGUUGGCGUGGCACCCACACCAGCAGCAAGCUCCCGGACGCCAACCAGUGGCCAGACAGCAGAAACAACAGGGUCUGCAAAUGAAACGGUCUUGCCCUUUCUCCUGGGCACCCAGCAGCGAGUUGAUGAUGCCAUCCCCAGACAAUGGCGACGGAACGGGGUUGAAUGCCUAUGCUUGUCGUUGGAGCUAUAGCAGUCCUCCAUCCCACCCCGGCAUCGCGAUGAACGCGCCCAACCGGAAAGACUUCGGUGCCUACGGUUUCCACUGCGUCUGCCACGCUGAAAGUUCCCCUCAUCAUCAUCGUCAUCCUGGCCCCAGCCACGACGCCCAGUCUCUCUACCUCUGAAAGUUUCUGCAUGUUCUCUUUUUUCGCCCAUAGAGUCUGGGGCGCCAUAGCUCCAGACAAAUUCUCUUCGCUGCUUGCGAUUAGGGGGGCCCCCCCUGGAUCCCCUCCCACGGAGGAAGGAGAGGUCUUCCACCACCUCGAUGUGAUUGCGAAGAGUGUAUACAUGACCAGUUUUCAGAUCGGAAGGUUCAUCAUGAAGAGCACCAGCAAGCGGCAAAGGAGCGCUAACUGGUGGAAGCUCCCUGUCCGGUUCUAAAACCGUAAGCUGGACCUCUUUGGGUAUGUCACAAGGGUCAGAGCACCAUGCCCAAAGAUCGAAGGACCUAGUGCGCUCUCUACGCCUUGUGCCCUCCUGCACAUAGUGAAUUGCACAGCUCUUGCCUAAGGCCUUCGAAGCCACUUCUUCCCCCCAACAGUGAACCGGAAUACCUUCAACCCGGACUUUAACUCUAAACUCCAGGUUCGUUUUCCUAGCAUUGCUGUCCUCUGACCAAUCUCCAAAAUGGAAAGUCCUAUCACGAUAUGAGACCGAACCCCUAUCAAGCGCCCACAGCUUCGACCUUGGAUCCGAGAAUAUGAUAAAAAACUGCUCAGGAAAGUGCUUGACUAGCUGAUACUGACCGUGGCGAAGGUUGAACUUCUCCCUUAGCAUAUCACCUGCAGCUAAAGUGUCAACCUCAUGGCUAUUGCCGUCGAAGGAGCAAACCACAGCCUUGUCAAUCAGCUCGUCCCUGCGGCGACGGAAGGAGCCGGUCGCCGAGACCGAGCAGAAGGCACGCGAAGGUCUUCCCCGGGGGUCUCCAGGGUAGCGAGCCUCCAUUCCUCGGUCUCCCUGCACAACCUGGAGGUAGGAUUUCUUGUGUAUGGGGGGCGGUUGACUGAGUGGCGCCUUACUGCGUUGCUCAAGGUUCCUACCGCAAUGCUCAAGGUUCUUAUGUAGAUCGUCAGUCCAUAGUCGUGCCUCAUGGUAGGUAGGGGUCCUUGAUGGUUGUUCGACUGGCUUAGGAAAAAACCCAGCAGCAGUGAAUGUCCCCUGAGAGCUUUUCCGGUUGCAGUAUCUCGCUCGAUGUCCGGAUUGAAGGCAAAGCCAGCAGCGCGAAGGAGCCUGGCAGCAAAAAGCUAGAUGAUCUGGUGAGAAGCAAUUGUAACAUUUGCCCUUUAGCUUCAAUUUGAAAAGACCAGUGCCCUUCACGUCGAAUUGAUGAUAUUGCCGUGUUCGCUCAGUAGACGUCCAGCUCUUGCGCCACCAGUACCGCGGUCUGACCACCGACCAGUCCCCUUCAAUGCCAUCCGACGCAGCAGGGUAUGGCCUCUGUCCAUUCAAACGCGGCGCGGCAUCGAGACCAGCAGCACGCCGAUGUGACCAAACGUUGCCCGAAUUCAAAUCCCCUUCCGGCUUGCAGGAGAGCUGGAAAUCCGGAGUGCGAUCUGCACCCACCUCGGCCUUUCCAGACGCCAGGAUACGCGGCAUUGAAGUCUGCCGAAGAGGAUCACCAAGAGCUGCCUGCACUGGACGCGGAUCUGCUUUGGAUUUUGAUCUUGUAUCCACCCGGGUCGUCGCAUAGGAGCCAUCGCCAGCUGCGGCGGACCAUUGAAGCUUUGAUUGAUGAAAUGGGACGCCCUUGUCUUGGGAAUCAUGAGCUUGCUUGCAGGAAUCAUCUCUGAUAAGAGCCUGAGAAAUAGGGAGCUCCUUCGCCGAACUUACCGGGUCGCUGAGUGGGGAGUCCGUCGCGCGCAGGGCCGCUCCGCGCCCGCCGAGAAGGGAGGGGCGAGCCCAACCCGCGGCGGACGGAGGAUCUCCCGGCGACUGGAAAGGAGGACCAAGGGAAGCGGCGGCGCCCUUCCCCAUCCCGCGCUCAACCCUAAACCUCGAACUGAUCUUUACCAAAACGCUCUAUAAGCAUGAAGCCAAAUUCAGGCCAGGACACAUGGGUGAGGCUCUGCUGAACCUGAAUGUAACCAUCGUCGUAUGCAUCCAUUUCAUUCCGCACUUGAUUAAGUUUGCGUCCUAGUCAUUAAUUACUUUGUGUUUGAAUAUUGAUUUUGUUCAAGCGAAUUCCCAACUGCUUGCUGUCAUCGUCGAUCAGCAUACAGUGGACCGUGGUCCUUUUACGUACCUCAAGCAAACUAACGAGUAAUGCGUAUGAAUGCCUUAUUCAAAUUAACGCGGCUGCCACUGAGAAGUUCCACACGUACACCACCAUCUUCCUAUCAUUGAUACUAGGCAGAGGUGUGUGUUUAGUCGUCAUUUUAGUUGAAACAUCUUUGGCUUCGAGGUAUUUAUUGAGCAGAGGCCCUCUCCCUAUACACAUCAAGCAAGAGUAAAGGUUACUGAGGUCCUGGUCCAAACCUCAAGAACUAAUUGCUAGUCGGCUAAUAAAUUGUUAGCUAGUUUUAGCGAGGUUGGAGCAGCUAAUAACUAACCGCUAUUUGAGAGGUAUAGUUAACACUUAGUUUGUCAAUUAGCUGACCCGUUGUAAAUCUCUAUGCUGAUUUUAGCUGUUAACUAACAGUUUUAGAGGUCUAGAAUAGGGUUACCAUAACCAAGCGAACAAAUAAAGAAUUUUUUUCUUAGUUUUGCCAAGUAUAUAUGCUUCCAGGGAAGUUGUGGUCAGGACCACGUACAUAUAUAGUAGUAAACUGGAGGACGUACGCGUGUGUCCGGUCCCCCAAUUUUCUGGUAUAACUAGCUAAAUGAUAUUUGUUAGGUGAACUCAGAAUAAAUUAAAAUAAACCUAUGCAUUGGAGCUGACAAUUCCACGAACAAGAAACAGCCUGUAGACGCACCCGGUUUGAUGAGGCAACCUUAUGUAUUGUAUACACUUCUUGUCACUAAUUAAUUGAAUCUAUGUAACCACAUCUGAAUUGAAUCCAAAACACUUGGGUUUUUUUUCCUCUUCAGCCAUCUUCCUCCGACGAGAUCCUACCGCGGCCGCAGUGACCUUCAUCUUCCUUUUCCCCCGCUGCCGACAUGGCCAUGGUCGCCCCAGGCCCCAGCCCUAAACCUGGUUCAGCCGCCUCCACCGCCUCACAGCUAUCUACCCCGUCCCCACACCGUUUGGUCCGUCUGCCUAAAUAAAAUUUCUCCGUGUGGAUAUUCAGACGUGCAAAACAAUGGUUUACAAUGAAGACUACAUUAUUUACAUAGUAGAGUUUAAAAUAAAGAUUAAGAUAAGAGAUGAGAUAGAUAAAGGAUUGUAGAUAGUCUAAUGCCAUCUCUAGCAAAUCUACUAUCUUUUCUUUUAUGUCGUCGUCUAUUUUAAAUUUCACUCUACAAAAAGUGAUGUUGGGGCCUUCGUCUUCCGAAGGUCUUCAAAAACAUGAUUUAACAAUAUUUCUGAGUAUGAUACACAAACAGGUACCUUCGGACUCUAUCAGAACCACAAUCUAAAGAAGGACAAAGAAUACGAAGGUUAGCGUAGAGCCGAAACUGUGCGCAGGGGAGCUUCGGCAUGGUAGCAGAAACGGGAACCGACUUAAAAAGGAAAAGGCUAUUUAGACCUUGAUGGAUUACUAUAGAGUCAUUAGCAAAUGUAAAGGGCAUGAGUGUAAUUGUACAUGGGCUGCGUCCCGUGCCUAUAAAUAGAUGAACAGUGCUCCCGUACUGUUCACGCGGACUUGACAUUUUGCUUUUGCAUCACACUUGUACCCUUACCUUAUUUUGAUCCGAAGGUACAUUUAUAAUUUGAUAUCAUUUCUAUUUUCCAUAGUAAUAAAAUAGAAAUGAGUUGAUAUAUAAUUAUUCAUGUUAUCUUUUACAUUUCAUAUGAUUCUUUCUUCAUUAUUAUAUGUUACAUCGAUGAAGGUAUGUCCUUCAUAACCUUCGUCCGAAGAUCAUUAUAUCCUAAAGGAAAUAAUGCCUCGAAGGACGAAGGGCUUUAACGUUUAACAUUUUUCGUGUUGCCUUGUUCUUAACUCAUAGCAUUUGGGAACAAGUCCCCAACAUUGGCGUUCACCUCCGGUGAAUCCUUUUCGACCACCUUCGGCAAGCAUUGACCUUCAUCAUGCCACCGAAGAAAGCUUCAGCGACAGGGACUGCCGCUCUGCAGCCACUGGACCCGAACCAGGAAACCCUUUCUCUUCGAGAGGCCCGAAGCCAGAAGAGGAAGGCUACUAGUCCAACACCCCAGGAGGACGAGUUGGACCAAGAGAUCAGAAACAUGGAGAUGCUUCAUCAACAAGUACAAAGGAAGAAGGAGAAGAUGGCUCGACUAGCCGACCUUCAAAGGCAGAUUGACGAAGCUACCGAAGAAGUACGCCAUCUUGCUCAAGAUGAACAAGAACGAAGGCCCCAGCACAGGGAGCUUUCAUCAAGAAGGCUUGUUCGAUGAUGAUGGAUGGUAUGAUGAUUUUAAUCAUAGUACCUUUACUUUUGACGAUGCUUCUCCCCUGGCAGCAGAACUGCAGGCUAUCCCAUGGUCCCCAUCGUAUAAGCCACCUCAGCUUCCGAUGUAUGAUGGGCAUUCAGACCCGAAGCAGUUUUUGAUGAGUUAUGAAGCAACUAUAUCUUCAUACGGAGGCAAUACAACUGUCAUGGCCAAGUCCUUCGUUAUGGCAGUGAAGAAUGUGGCUCAAACGUGGUAUUCUUCUCUUCGGCCAGGGACUAUCACUUCAUGGCAGAAGCUCAAGGACAUGCUGGUGACAAGUUUCCAGGGCUUUCAGACGAAGCCAUUCAUAGCUCAGGCUCUGUUCCAAUGCACGCAGGAUCAUGAGGAGUAUCUCCAGACAUACGUCCGAAGAUUCUUGCAUUUGAGAGCACAAGCGCCUAUUGUGUCCAAUGAAAUUGUCAUUGAGGCCAUGAUCAAGGGGCUUCGUCCAGGACCUACUGCCCAGUAUUUUGCUAGAAAGCCUCCACAGACUUUGGAGAAUACAUCCGCGCUGAUAACGAUUUUCGUCAAAGAAGGGAGGAAGCCUAUAGGUUCUCUGAGAUGACCAGGGGCUUCGGAGGGAGAAUCCACCCAAGACAUGUCAGGUCAAUCCACUCCACCUAGAGUGGCGACAGGGGAAGUCAACAACAAAGGCCACAAUAUUCCUCGCAAGCUUCGGGGCAGCAACAAAGCUAUCUUCGGCCGCCAGCUCCAAGGGGCAGAGGCGCCAGGGGCUUUGGAGGAAGGUUUGGCGAUCAACCCAGGAAGAAUUAUUGCUUAUUCUGUGGUGAGGACAAGGGCCAUACUACAAGGAUGUGCUAUGUCACCAUUCAGAAACAGAAGGAAAUAGCAGAAGCUGCAGCUCAGCAGAACCAGCCGAAGCAGGUCAUGCAUACUGCUUCAUAUCACUCACCCUACAUACCAGAGUAUGUGGGUAACCAUCCUGCAAUGUCUGUUGCUUCGGCUAGUCAGCCACAGGCAUCCUGGCCAUAGCCUCCACCUCCGCCACCACUACAACCUGCAUAUUCACGCGGCCAACAGCCAGAAGGGAGUCAACAGACCCAUCAGCAGAGAGACUUUAGGGAGGAGUCCGAAGCUCGCACAGUCAACAGUACUGUGCCAGAGUCGAAGCAUAUCUACUAAGAGAUAUCAUACCUCUGAAUCAGUUUUUACAUUCAUUGUCAUUCUCUUUCUUACUAAGGAACAAUUAUUGAAAACCUAGUUUUCUUGUCGUUUUCAAUUCCUUGUAAUAGCUUCGUUUUUGCCAUAGUGGAAAUAUAUCUUCUCCACAGACUCACGGAGUCCAAAAAGUCGCCGAAGCACAAAACGUCGUUCUAAGGAACGCAGCGUAAGUUGUCGAAGCUACAAAAAGUCGUUCCUAAGGGAGCGCAGUGUAAGUUUUCUGCUCAAAAGUCGUUCCAAAGGGAAUGCAGAGCAAAAUACCGUCGAAAUAUAAGGCGAAGCGCGAAAAGUCAACGCGAAUAUCGUCGAAAUAGAAGGCGAAGAAGUUCAAAAGACGUUCCUAAGGGAAUGCAGAACUUACAGCGAAAAGUCAGCUCUGAUACACCGAAAAAUAAACGGUGAAGCCAAAAAAUAAACGACAAAGAGAUUGUGUAUUCCAAUAUAGGGAUAUGAGUGUGUGUCUUCAGCACAAAGUAUCAUUUUUGCAUAGCAUAAUAUCAUCACAUCAUUUCGCAUAACAUAACAUCAUACAUCAUAUUGCAUCAAUGGCACAAGAAGGGGAUAUAAUGUUGACCUUCGGAGAAUGCUUCGAAAAAGUGAAAUUGUGCUAAGGCACAAAAUAAGUUCUGAAGAGAUAUAGCUUUAUCAGUGUUAUAGCUUUAUCAGUGUUAUCAGCGCUGAUAUAAAAUAAGUGGAGGAAAAAGUCUAUUAUUGACGAAGCAUCAGUGUUAUGGCGACGCUUGGAGCAUUUUUUAUUAAGCACUCUGAUAUCGAGGAAGAAAGUCUAUUACUGACUGUCGGGGACCAUAAUUAGGGGUACCCUCAAGACUCCUAAUUCUCAGCUGGUAACCCCCAUCAGCAUAAAGCUGCAAAGACCUGAUGGGUGCGAUUAAGUCAGGGAUCAGUCCAUUCGAGCGACUCGAUCACGCCUCGCCCGAGCCUAGCCUCGGGCAAGGGCAGCCGACCCCGAGGGAUUUCCGUCUCGCCCGAGGCCCCCUUUCAACGGCGGACACAUCUUCGGCUCGCCCGAGGCCCUGCCUUCGCUAAGAAGCAACCCUGACUAAAUCGCCGCACCGACCGACCAAAUCGCAGGAGCAUUUAACGCAAAGGUGGCCUGACACCUUUAUCCUGACACGCGCCCUCCGGCAGAGCCGAAGUGACCGCUGUCACUUCGCCGCUCCAAUGACUGGUCUGACAGAAGGACAGCGCCGCCUGCGCCACUCCGACUGCAGCGCCACUUGACAGAGUGAUGCUGACAGGGAGCCAGGUCCUGCCAAAGGCACCAUAGGAAGCUCCGCCCGACCUAGGGCUCGAACUCGGGCUCCGCCCCGGAAGACGGCGAACUCCGCUCCGCCCGACCCAGGGCUCGGACUCGGGCUCCGCCCCGCAAGACGGCGAACUCCGCUCCGCCCGACCCAGGGCUCGGACUCGGGCUAAGACCCGGAAGACGGCGAACUCCGCUCCGCCCGACCCAGGGCUCGGACUCGGGCUAAGACCCGGAAGCCGGCGAACUCCGCUCCGCCCGACCCAGGGCUCGGACUCGGGCUAAGACCCGGAAGACGGCGAACUCCGCUCCGCCCGACCCAGGGCUCGGACUCGGGCUCAGCCCCAGAAGACGACGAACUCCGCUUCACCCGACCCCAGGGCUCGGACACCGCCCUGGCCUCUGCCGACGACCUCCGCCUCGCCCGACCCAAGGGCACGGACUCGGCCUCGGCCAUGAAGGACAGACUCGACCUCGGCUUCGGAGGAGCCUCCACGUCGCCCGACCUAGGGCACAGGCCCGCCACGUCAACAGGAAGCGCCAUCAUCACCCUACCCCGAGCCGACUCGGGCCGCAGAGAACAAGACCGGUGUCCCAUCUGGCUAGCUCCGCCAGAUAGGCAAUGAUGGCGCCCCGCUAGCCCUGUGACGACGGCGGCUCUCAGCUCCCUUACGGAAGCAGGGGGACGUCAGCAAGGACCCAACCGCUCCGACAGCUGUCCCUCCGCCAGGCUCCGUUGCUCCUCCGACAGCCACGACAUCACACCAGCAGGGUGCCAAGAUCUCUCCGGCUGCCACAUUGGCAUGUACCUAGGGCGCUAGCUCUUCCCCCGCUAGACACGUAGCACUCUGCUACACCCCCAUUGUACACCUGGAUCCUCUCCUUACGCCUAUAAAAGGAAGGACCAGGGCCUUCUUAGAGAAGGUUGGCCGCGCGGGACGAGGAUGGGACAGGCGCUCUCUUGGGGCCGCUCGCUUCCCUCACCCGCGUGGACGCUUGUAAUCCCCUACUGCAAGCGCACCCGACCUGGGCGCGGGACGAACACGAAGGCCGCGGGAUUCCCAUCUCUCUCGUGCCGGACUCCGGCCUCCUCGCUCCUUUCCCCCCUUUGCGCUCGCCCACGCGCUCGACCCAUCUGAGCUGGGGCACACGGCACUCACUCGUCGGCCUGAGGGACCCCCGGUCUCGAAACGCCGACAGUUGGCGCGCCAGGUAGGGGCCUGCUGCGUGUUGACGAGCAGCUUCCCGUCAAGCUCCAGAUGGGCAGUCUCCAACAACCUCUCCAACCCGGGACGGUGCUCCGUUUCGGGAGCCUUGAGUUCAUGUCCCUCGACGGCAGCUACGGCAUGGUACUCCUUCCACCGCCGCGCGACAGCGACAAUGGCAGCCGACGACCCGCCCGCCGGCGGCGGAAUCGACGACAUCUUCCUCGCGUGGUGGAAGAACAACAUUCGAGCUCGCUCCGUCCUCUCCCCCGCCAACGGAGGAGGAGGCGGAGCAACCAAGGCCAAGCGGGAGGCCGCGCUUCGUCGGCUGUCGAGCGAAUCGACGUCCCCAGCGCCCCAACGGGGGGCGCGUCGGGCGUCGACCUCGCGUUUGAGACGGAGGCGAACGCCGUCCCCCCGCGACACGCCAAUCCCGAGCAAAUGGACGACGCCAGCACGCUCGCGGAGGGCCUGCAGGACGUCGCCCUCGUACCUAAGACGACGGCGCAAUCAGUCCCCGACAUGACUAUGUCGCUCCUCGUCAACCAAAAGGUACUGACUGAUUCCCAUCCUACGUCAUUUCGACUCGGCCUCAACCCGCCUAGCGACCUCGCUUUGGCGGGCACUCUCGUUGAGGCGAGUGCAACCCCUCUGGGGUUUCGUAUGCGGUCGCCUUGGGACCGAUUGACGGACGUCUCGACCUACGGGCCCUCUGGGUCCGAGGAAGAUGACGAUCCUAGCAUCUGCUGGGAUUUCUCUGGAUUUGGCAACCCCAGUGCCAUGCAGGGCUUUAUGACCGCAUGUGACUACUGCCUCUCCGACUGUUCCGACGGUAGCCGCAGCCUUGGCGACGAGGACUGCGGCCCAAGCCACGAAUGUUUCCACGUCGAGCUAGGGGAUCCCUCCGAAGGCAACCAUCUCGGCAUGCCGGAGGACGGUGAUCUCCCUAGGCCGGUGCCUCGCGCCGACAUCCCGCGAGAGCUAGCUGUGGUCCCCGUUCCGGCGGGGGGUCACGACCCACAGCUCGAGCAAGUCCGCGGGGCGCAGGCCAGGCUCAACGAGGGAGCAGGAGCGCUCGAGUCGAUCCGCCGGGACGUCGGGCAGGUAUGGGCGGGCCAACCCCCGGCCGGAGAAAUACGUCAUCUGCCCCAGGGUCUCCAGCACCGCGUCGCCAACGACGUCAGGGUCAGGCCGCCACCCGCAUCCAGCGGGGUCGGUCAGAACCUGGCAGCCGCAGCGAUGCUCCUCCGCGCGAUGCCGGAGCCAUCAACCACCGAGGGUCGGCGAAUCCAGGGAGAGCUCAAGAAUCUUCUGGAAGGCGCUGCGGCCCGAUGGGCCGAGAGCUCUGCCUCCCGAAGGCAGGGAUACCCCUCGGAACCUCAUGCCGCGACUUCCCGAUUCAUGCGGGAAGCCUCGGUCUACACCGGGCGCACGCGCAACACCGCGCCUGCGGCCCCGGGCCACCUCGGCAACGAGCACCAUCGUCGCGACCGUCGGGCCCACCUCGACGAAAGGGUGCGCCGAGGCUACCACCCCAGGCGUGGGGGACGCUACGACAGCGGGGAGGAUCGAAGUCCCUCGCCCGAACCACCCGGUCCGCAGGCCUUCAGUCGGGCCAUCCGACGGGCGCCGUUCCCGGCCCGGUUCCGACCCCCGACUACUAUCACAAAGUACUCGGGGGAAACGAGACCGGAACUGUGGCUCGCAGACUACCGCCUGGCCUGCCAACUGGGUGGAACGGACGACGACAACCUCAACAUCCGCAACCUCCCCCUGUUCCUCUCCGAUACUGCUCGCGCCUGGUUGGAGCACCUGCCUCCGGGGCAGAUCUCCAACUGGGAUGAUUUGGUCCAAGCCUUCGCCGGCAAUUUCCAGGGCACGUACGUGCGCCCCGGGAAUUCCUGGGACCUUCGAAGCUGCCGGCAACAGCCGGGAGAGUCUCUUCGGGACUACAUCCGGCGAUUCUCGAAGCAGCGCACUGAGCUGCCCAACAUCACCGACUCAGAUGUCAUCGGCGCGUUCCUUGCCGGCACCACCUGCCGCGACCUGGUGAGCAAGUUGGGUCGCAAGACCCCCACCAGGGCGAGCGAGCUGAUGGACAUCGCCACCAAGUUCGCCUCUGGCCAGGAGGCGGUCGAGGCCAUCUUCCGAAAGGACAAGCAGCCCCAGGGCCGCCCAUCGGAAGAGGCUCCCGAGGUGUCUACUCCGCGCGGCGCCAAGAAGAAAGGCAAGAAGAAGUCGCAAGCGAAACGCGACGCCGCCGACGCGGACCUUGUCGCUGCCGCCGAGUACAAGAACCCUCGGAAGCCCCCCGGAGGUGCUAACCUCUUCGACAAGAUGCUCAAGGAGCCGUGCCCCUACCAUCAGGGGCCCGUCAAACACACCCUCGAGGAGUGCGUCAUGCUUCGGCGCCACUUCCACAAGGCCGGGCCACCCGCAGAGGGUGGCAGGGCCCGCGACGACGACAAAAAGGAAGAUCACCAAGCAGGAGAGUUCCCUGAGGUCCGCGACUGCUUCAUGAUCUACGGAGGGCAUGCGGCGAAUGCCUCGGCUCGGCAUCGCAAGCAAGAGCGUCGGGAGGUCUGCUCGGUGAAGGUGGCGGCGCCAGUCUACCUAGACUGGUCCGACAAGCCCAUCACCUUCGACCAAGCUGACCACCCCGACCACGUGCCGAGCCCGGGGAAAUACCCGCUCGUCGUCGACCCCAUCGUCGGCGACGUCAGGCUCACCAAGGUCCUGAUGGAUGGGGGCAGCUGCCUCAACAUCAUCUACGCCGAGACCCUCAGGCUCCUGCGCGUCGAUCUGUCCUCCGUCCGAGCAGGCGCUGCGCCCUUCCACGGGAUCAUUCCUGGGAAGCGCGUCCAGCCCCUCGGACGGCUCGACCUUCCCGUCUGCUUCGGAACGCCCUCCAACUUCCGAAGGGAGACUUUGACGUUCGAGGUGGUCGGGUUCCGAGGAACCUACCACGCGGUAUUGGGGAGGCCAUGCUAUGCGAAGUUCAUGGCCGUCCCCAACUACACCUACCUGAAGCUCAAGAUGCCGGGCCCCAAUGGGGUCAUCACCGUUGGCCCCACGUACAAACACGCGUUCGAAUGCGACGUGGAGUGCGUGGAGUACGCCGAGGCCCUCGCCGAGUCCGAGGCCCUCAUCGCCGACCUGGAGAACCUCUCCGAAGAGGUGCCAGACGUGAAGCGACAUGCCGGCAACUUCGAGCCAGCGGAGACGGUUAAGGCUGUCCCUCUCGACCCCAGUGGCGACACCUCCAAGCAGAUCCGGAUCGGUUCCGGGCUCGACCCCAAAUAGGAAGCUGUGCUCGUCGACUUUCUCCGCGCAAACGCCGACGUCUUUGUGUGGAGUCCCUCGGACAUGCCCGGCAUACCGAGGGAUGUCGCCGAGCACUCGCUGGAUAUUCGGGCCGGAGCCCGACCCGUCAGGCAGCCUCUGCGCCGAUUCGACGAGGAGAAGCGCAGAGUGAUAGGCGAGGAGAUCCACAAGCUAAUGGCAGCAGGAUUCAUCAAAGAGGUAUUCCAUCCCGAAUGGCUUGCCAACCCUGUGCUUGUGAGAAAGAAAGGGGGGAAAUGGCGGAUGUGUGUAGACUACACUGUUCUCAACAAAGCAUGUCCGAAGGUUCCCUACCCUCUGCCUCGCAUCGAUCAAAUCGUGGAUUCCACUGCUGGGUGCGAAACCCUGUCCUUCCUCAAUGCCUACUCAGGGUAUCACCAAAUCCGGAUGAAAGAGUCCGACCAGCUCGCGACUUCUUUCAUCACGCCCUUCGGCAUGUACUGCUAUGUCACCAUGUCGUUCGGUUUGAGGAACGCGGGUGCGACGUACCAGCGGUGCAUGAACCAUGUGUUCGGCGAACACAUCGGUCGCACGGUCGAGGCUUACGUCGAUGACAUCAUAGUCAAGACAAGGAAGGCUUCCAACCUCCUCUCCGACCUUGAAGUGACAUUCCGAUGUCUCAAAGCGAAAGGCGUCAAGCUCAAUCCCGAGAAGUGUGUCUUCGGGGUGCCCCGGGGCAUGCUCUUGGGGUUCAUCGUCUCCGAGCGAGGCAUCGAAGCCAACCCGGAGAAGAUCGCAGCCAUCACCAACAUGGGGCCCAUCAAGGACUUAAAAGGUGUACAGAGGGUCAUGGGAUGUCUCGCGGCCCUGAGCCGGUUCAUCUCACGCCUCGGCGAAAGAGGCCUGCCUCUAUACCGCCUCUUAAGGAAGGCCGAGUGCUUCACUUGGACACCUGAGGCCGAGGAAGCUCUCGGGAACCUGAAGGCGCUUCUUACAAAGGCGCCUAUCUUGGUACCCCCAGCUGAUGGAGAAGCCCUCUUGGUCUACGUCGCCGCGACCACUCAGGUGGUUAGCGCCGCGAUUGUGGUCGAGAGGCAAGAAGAGGGGCAUGCAUUGCCCGUUCAGAGGCCAGUUUACUUCGUCAGCGAGGUGCAGUCUGAAACCAAGAUCCGCUACCCACAAGUUCAGAAGCUGCUGUACGCAGUGAUCCUGACGAGGUGGAAGUUGCGACACUACUUCGAGUCUCACCCGGUAACUGUGGUGUCAUCCUUCCCCCUGGGGGAGAUCAUCCCGUGCCGAGAGGCCUCGGGCAGGAUUGCAAAGUGGGCGGUGGAAAUCAUGGGCGAGACAAUCUCGUUCGCCCCUCGGAAGGCCAUCAAGUCCCAGGUCUUGGCGGACUUCGUAGCCGAAUGGGUCGACACCCAGCUACCGACGGCUCCGAUCCAACCGGAGCUCUGGACCAUGUUUUUCGACGGGUCGCUGAUGAAGACAGGAGCCGGCGCGGGCCUGCUCUUCAUCUCGCCCCUCGGGAAACACCUACGCUACGUGCUACGCCUCCAUUUCCCGGCGUCCAACAAUGUGGCUGAGUACGAAGCUCUGAUCAACGGAUUGCGAAUCGCCAUCGAGCUAGGGGUUCGACGCCUCGACGCUCGCGGCGACUCGCAGCUCGUCAUCGACCAAGUCAUGAAGAACUCCCACUGCCGCGACCCGAAGAUGGAGGCCUACUGCGAUGAGGUUCGGCGCCUGGAAGACAAGUUCUACGGGCUCGAGCUUAACCACAUCGCUCGGCGCUACAACGAGACUGCGGACGAGCUGGCAAAAAUAGCCUCGGGGCGAACGACGGUUCCCCCGGACGUCUUCUCCCAGGAUCUGCACCAACCCUCCGUCAAGAUCAACGACACGCCCGAGCCCGAGGCACCCUCGGUCCAGCCCGAGGUACCCUCGGUCCAGCCCGAGGCGUCCUCGGUUCAGCCCGAGGUACCCUCGGCCCCCGAGGGCGAGGCGCUGCGCAUCAAGGAGGAGCGGAGCGGGGCCACGCCUGAUCGAGAUUGGCAGACCCCGUACCUGCAAUAUCUCCGCCAAGGAGAACUACCCCUCGACCAAGCCGAGGCUCGGCGGGUAGCGCGACACGCCAAGUCGUUCGUCUUGCUGGGCGAUGAGAAGGAGCUCUACCACCGCAGCCCCUCGGGCAUCCUCCAGCGAUGCAUCUCCAUCGCCGAAGGUCAGGAACUCCUGCAAGAAAUACACUCGGGGGCUUGCGGCCAUCAUGCAGCGCCUCGAGCCCUCGUCGGGAAUGCUUUCCGGCAAGGCUUCUACUGGCCGACAGCGGUGGCUGACGCCACUAGAAUUGUCCGCACCUGCGAAGGAUGUCAAUUCUAUGCGAAGCAGACCCACCUGCCCGCUCAGGCUCUGCAGACGAUACCCAUCACCUGGCCCUUCGCUGUGUGGGGUCUGGACCUCGUCGGUCCCUUGCAGAAGGCGUCCGGGAGCUACACGCACCUGCUGGUCGCCAUCGACAAAUUCUCCAAGUAGAUCGAGGUCCGACCCCUGAACAGCAUCAGGUCCGAGCAGGCGGUGGCGUUCUUCACCAACAUCAUCCAUCGCUUCGGGGUCCCAAACUCCAUCAUCACCGACAACGGCACCCAGUUCACCGGCAGAAAAUUCUUGGAUUUUUGCGAGGAUCACCACAUCCGGGUGGACUGGGCCGCCGUGGCUCAUCCCAUGUCGAAUGGGCAAGUAGAGCGUGCCAACGGCAUGAUUCUACAAGGGCUCAAGCCUCGGAUUUACAACGACCUCAACAACUUCGGCAAGCGAUGGAUGAAGGAACUCCCCUCGGUGGUCUGGAGCCUGAGGACAACGCCGAGCCGAGCCACGGGUUUCACGCCGUUCUUCCUGGUCUACGGGGCCGAGGCCGUCCUGCCCGCUGACCUGGAAUACGGCUCCCCGAGGAUGAGGGCCUACGACGAUCAAAGCAACCAGGCUAGCCGAGAAGACUCGCUGGACCAGCUGGAAGAGGCUCGGGACAGGGCCUUACUACACUCGGCGCGGUAUCAGCAGUCCCUGCGGCGCUACCACGCCCGAGGGGUCCGACCCCAAGACCUCCAGGUGGGCGACCUGGUGCUUCGGCUGCGGCAAGACACCCGAGGGAGGCACAAGCUCACGCCCCCCUGGGAGGGGCCGUUCGUCAUCGCCAAAGUUCUGAAGCCCGAAACGUACAAGCUGGCCAACAAUCAAGGUGAGGUCUACGACAACGCUUGGAACAUCCAACAGCUACGUCGCUUCUACCCUUAAGAUGUUUCCAAGUUGUUCAUAUACCUCGCACCCAGGCGGCGCUUCUGGCAGGAGCAGCGGGCGACGCUUCGCCUUCGCCGAAACAACCGCGCCAAAAAAGGUACGCCUCGUCGUUCGGUUUCGUAUCCUUUUUCCUUUUUCCUCUUUCUCUAUCUCUUGCGACAGGGACCGGGAAAGGGGGAUACCCCGAAAGGGAUCCUUCCCCAUGAAGGAACCAGGCUCCGAGCCUCCUUACUGAUCAGGGGUUCGAAGGCUGGCCCCCCGAAGGGUUCAACAGCCGCCUCAGAUCGCGUGGGCCCUACACCCACUACUGGUCAGAGGUUCGAAGGCCGGCCCCCCGAAGGGUUCCACGGCCGCCUCAGGCUACUCGGGCUCCGUGCCCAUUACUGAUCAGGGGUUCGAAGGCUGGCCCCCGAAGGGUUCACAGCCGCCUCAGACGCCGAGCGAGGGAUGACCAGGGGUACGUUCGAUACAUAACCAAGGCUCGGGCUGCGCUCCCGAGGUACCCUAGGACAUUUCCGAGACCAGCGGGAGCGAUCUUGUAACGGAAUCCCAUCGGAGGGAGGCAUCGAGCCCUCGGACCCCGUCGCCAGGGGACCGGGUCCGGCAGAUCACCCGCAGGUACUUUUGGGCGUGCCUCUGGGCCCCUAGCCGACCCCUCACGAACGGGGCACGGACGUCCACUCGGAUUACCCGCUUGCAGCUCACCGGAGACACCAUGUUCGGCGCCCAUCGAGGGUAACAUGGCGCUCUCCCCCCCCCCUCCUCCUUGCGGAAAGGCGACGCAGGGGCGUAUGUAAAAAAGCCGAGUCUGUCCCUGAUCGCCCUCUUGCCCUGUGCAGAGGCUCGGGGGCUGCUCUCGCAAACCCGGCUCCGGCCGAACCGUUGACAGCGUCAACAUACCAGCCCGAGAACUUGGGCCCCGACCGUACACCCGGGCUACGGCCAGCUCGCAUGAGGGAACAACCAGACCAGCCGAAGCAUUACGCAAGGCAUUAAGACCUCGAAGGAGUGAAACCACUCCUCCGAGGCCUCGGGGGCUACACCCGGCGGGUGCGCUCGCGCGCACCCACCGGAACAAAAUGCAACCGAGAAAGGCUGGUCCCCUUGCAAAAAAGUGCGACGAAAGCCUCCAAGCGAGUGCUAACACUCCCUUCGAGGCUCGGGGGCUACUGUCGGGGACCAUAAUUAGGGGUACCCUCAAGACUCCUAAUUCUCAGCUGGUAACCCCCAUCAGCAUAAAGCUGCAAAGGCCUGAUGGGUGCGAUUAAGUCAGGGAUCAGUCCAUUCGAGCGACUCGAUCAUGCCUCGCCCGAGCCUAGCCUCGGGCAAGGGCAGUCGACCCCGAGGGAUUUCCGUCUCGCCCGAGGCCCCCUUUCAACAGCGGACACAUCUUCGGCUCGCCCGAGGCCCUGCCUUCGCUAAGAAGCAACCCUGACUAAAUCGCCGCAUCGACCGACCAAAUCGCAGGAGCAUUUAACGCAAAGGUGGCCUGACACCUUUAUCCUGACACGCGCCCUCUGGCAGAGCCGAAGUGACCGCCGUCACUUCGCCGCUCCACUGACUGGUCUGACAGAAGGACAGCGCCGCCUGCGCCACUCCGACUGCAGCGCCACUUGACAGAGUGAUGCUGACAGGGAGCCAGGUCCUGCCAAAGGCACCAUAGGAAGCUCCGCCCGACCCAGGGCUCGGACUCGGGCUCCGCCCUGGAAGACGGCGAACUCCGCUCCGCCCGACCCAGGGCUCGGACUCGGGCUCCGCCCCGGAAGACGGCGAACUCCGCUCCGCCCGACCCAGGGCUCGGACUCGGGCUAAGACCCGGAAGACGGCGAACUCCGCUCCGCCCGACCCAGGGCUCGGACUCGGGCUAAGACCCGGAAGACGGCGAACUCCGCUCCGCCCGACCUAGGGCUCGGACUCGGGCUCAGCCCCAGAAGACGAUGAACUCCGCUUCACCCGACCCCAGGGCUCGGACACCGCCCUGGCCUCUGCCGACGACCUCCGCCUCGCCCGACCCAAGGGCUCGGACUCGGCCUCGGCCAUGAAGGACAAACUCGACCUCGGCUUCGGAGGAGCCUCCACGUCGCCCGACCUAGGGCACAGGCCCGCCACGUCAACAGGAAGCGCCAUCAUCACCCUACCCCGAGCCGACUCGGGCCACAGAGAACAAGACCGGUAUCCCAUCUGGCUAGCUCCGCCAGAUAGGCAAUGAUGGCGCCCCGCUAGCCCUGUGACGACGGCGGCUCUCAGCUCCCUUACGGAAGCAGGGGGACGUCAGCAAGGACCCAACCGCUCCGACAGCUGUCCCUCCGCCAGGCUCCGUUGCUCCUCCGACAGCCACGACAUCACACCAGCAGGGUGCCAAGAUCUCUCUGGCUGCCACAUUGGCAUGUACCUAGGGCGCUAGCUCUUCCCCCGCUAGACACGUAGCACUCUGCUACACCCCCAUUGUACACCUGGAUCCUCUCCUUACGCCUAUAAAAGGAAGGACCAAGGCCUUCUUAGAGAAGGUUGGCCGCGCGGGACGAGGACGGGACAGGCGCUCUCUUGGGGCCGCUCGCUUCCCUCACCCGCGUGGACGCUUGUAAUCCCCUACUACAAGCGCACCCGACCUGGGCGCGGG
This 39440-nucleotide long non-coding RNA is filed under the name Zea mays. RNAcentral describes it as "long non-coding RNA (ZMAY_LNC001509)". Lineage: Eukaryota; Viridiplantae; Streptophyta; Magnoliopsida; Poales; Poaceae. The record is from RNAcentral.